CGAGCCGGGCGGACGGCCGCGUGGAGUCCCCCUGACGGGGAACUUCCCGAGGAACGUCCGGGCUCCACAGGGCAGGGUGGUGGCUAACGGCCACCCGGGGUGACCCGCGGGACAGUGCCACAGAAAACAAACCGCCGGGGACCUCGUCCUCGGUAAGGGUGAAACGGUGGUGUAAGAGACCACCAGUGCCCAGGGUGACCUGGGCAGCUAGGUAAACCCCACCCGGAGCAAGGUCAAGAGGGGCCGCCGUAAAAAGUGGCCCUGCGCGGACGUCCGAGGGCAGCCCGCCCGAGUCCGCGGGUAGACCGCACGAGGCCGGCGGCAACGCCGGCCCUAGAUGGAUGGCCGUCACCACGGGCGCCGCGAGGACCCGUGGUACAGAACCCGGCGUACAGCCCUGCUCGUCUG
This 408-nucleotide RNase P RNA is filed under the name Streptomyces scabiei. RNAcentral's name for it is "RNase P RNA component class A". It matches the Rfam family "Bacterial RNase P class A". From Rfam's summary of the family: Ribonuclease P (RNase P) is a ubiquitous endoribonuclease, found in archaea, bacteria and eukarya as well as chloroplasts and mitochondria. Lineage: Bacteria; Bacillati; Actinomycetota; Actinomycetes; Kitasatosporales; Streptomycetaceae. The record is from RNAcentral.